Molecule: long non-coding RNA, 3098 nt
Organism: Cyprinus carpio (common carp)
Lineage: Eukaryota; Metazoa; Chordata; Actinopteri; Cypriniformes; Cyprinidae
Source: Ensembl
UAGGUGAGAAAUAUGAAUCUUUAAAAUACCUCUGUCAGGAUUUUAGUUUUUUUUUUCACCCCCAAGUAAAUUAUCAACCAUCUCCUGACAUCAAAGCAGCUUUCAUCACAUUAUCAUUCUCCGAGGCGCACACAUCUUGAAAGCCUUUCGGUAAAUACUUGAUUAAUAUUGCGUCCAUCAGUGUGAGGAUCAGCAACUCUUUGAACGCUGAGAGAGAGAGGAGGGCAGACAUGAAAACAGGAAUGUUUCAUCGGCAUCAGCUAGUGUAUAAUUGGCUCGUAAAAGUCUAAUUAGUCUUACAACCUGCAGGAAGCCAUUGAACACAAACAAAAUUAUACUAUGCAAUGCACUAGCUGAUGGGCAAAGUUGGUUUCCAUCAGCAUCUGUCAAUCAUGUAUGCUUCAGUUCGCUCAAAGCAAAUUGUAUUUGACAAGGGAAAUCAAAUGUUUAAUCUUCCCUGCCAUUGUUUAUCCUCCUCUUCUGGUCUUUCAUAUUUGUUUAGUAUUUUUAAUAUUUAAAGCGUGUUAUUUAUUCCUCUACGCCAUAUUUGCUAGUUUGUGAGUGGUACACUGACUGUAUAUUCUGUAAGUGGGUUUGUUUUAAAUAAAAAACUACCUGGGAAGUUUGUAAUUCCAGUCAGGUAACGAGGAUCAUUAUAAACAUACCCUCAUGUAUGAUGACUACGCGCCAUGUCUGUUGGUUGCCAAGGCAGCGGCGUGUUCUGCCAGCCGCGCGCUCACCUUGAAUGAAUGGAGGACCUGUGAGAUUCGCGUAACAGCCUUUAAAGGCGGCGGAAGGAGGGUGGAGUGGAAGUGCGUCAAUCACCAAGUGCCGGUACACGCCCACGGCAACGAGCGUUGUUUGUAUACGGGCCUGGAUACAGAAAUACUGGAGCUGCCUCUUUCCCAGAAUGUGUGAAUACAGAACUCACACAUAGGCACAAUUUUAUUUAACCCUAUAUGCUGAAAAGACCAACAUGCUGGUUAGUGGUGGACUAGCAUAGCUUUGAACCCAGAAACUGCCAGGUAAGAGGGACACCAGCUUUCAAAACACAACAUAUGCUGAAGGGAAGACUUAAAAGGCUUUUAUAGAACAUAAGGCAUAUAGUCUGGACUGAAAGCAAACGGUGAGUCAUAGGUGUGUCUGAAUAUAUGCACAACCACAUUGUCAUGAGGCAUGAGUCACACACAUACAAUAAUAAUGUGUGAGAAUUAUGCUUUUGCAGGUGGUGUUCAGGGCAUAAACUUGACAGCAUCAAAAUGUCCUGUUUGAAAUAUAUCCUUACCUAGCACAGCUAUGAGUCAUCCUCCACCAACACUGAUAAAUCUGUGCAAUGAACAUUCUGUAAAAGUUGCAAUGUCCUUGCUUUUUCCAAGAAAUGGCACAAUAGCAGGAAUCGCUAGUGAUUUAAUGAUUUUCCGGAUAUAAAAUGUGAGUCAGUGUCAUGAGUCUGAUGCUCAGAUAUGCUCAUAAAUUUCAUUCUCAAAAUGUUAUGUAACCCAAGUUUUCAAUGUGAAUGAAGAUAUAUGCUUGUGUUUGUAUGCUAGCAUGGCAUAGUCUCUUACUGUGCAACCAACAAAGCCAGUAACCACCGGCCGUCCACCCCCACACUGAGCUUGUAAACAAAAUAACAGCUCACGCCUUACAAGCUGCAAAAUGUGAGUUUACACAAAUGUCAGCCAAAAUCCUACCAAAUGCAUUGUUUCAUUGUUUAUAUAUAUAUAUAUGUAUAUAUUUAUAUAUAUAUAUAUAUUUAUAUAUAUAUAUAUACACACACACACACAUACACACACACACACACACAUAGAUAGAUAGAUAUUCAUACACACACACACACACACAUAUAUAUAUAUAUAUGAAUUUCAUUUAUAUAGACAGUCAACAUGCUGAUCAAGCUUGCUGGAAACGCAAGACGUCAGACAGAUUCCGAGGUGUAUGCAAUUACUGCCCUCCACUGGUCAAAUAACUAAUUGCAAUUAAAACAAUAGAUUUCUGAUAUCUACAAUGGCAGCCCCUUGACCAUCAUUGUUAUACAACGCCUGAGGUUUUUUAGCGGUUCUGGUAAUUGAAGUUAUAUUUUUAGCAUUGUUUUAAGAUAUGUAAACAUGCCGUAUCAUAUGUUGACCGUGCUGAGUGGAGGAGGAGGGCUUGUUCGAGAGAUGGAAAGUUGUGGUGAGGUGCAGGAAGCGCAUGUGUGGGUGUUUGAAGAGGAGGACAGUUCUCAAGGUCCCGAGGCUACGAUAUUUAUAACCCUCCUGGUUCACCCUUGCUCAUGCUUGCUUUCUCUUUCCCCGUAGAUGAAGAAGCGUCUUAAUCCAGGUCACUGCACAAUUCUGAGAGAUGCUAUUUUUAGCUUUCUGCAUGAGUGGAUAUGGUGCAUUUGUAGCCUACCACAGAUUUGCACAUUUUCCAUGACCGUGCGAAACCUGACAUAACUUGGGUGUUUAAUAUAGCUUAUAGCUUUAUUGUUGCACUCCUUUGUUUGUUUGCAGUGUUUAGUUUCCAAUAGAAUGCCGGUUCACUUGAGUCAAUGCAUCCUGAUUUGAUUGUCCUACAUUAACACAUCUAAAAGUAGCCUACUAUUGUCCUGCAGAGAGAACCAUGAUUAGCAUCUCUCCACAAUCAUCCUGCUAAUCUGCAUCCAGCUGUUCCUGGGUGGGGUCAUCGCCGCCCCACAGGGGUCCUCAGUCUGCCACAUUGUUUAAAGUGCUAAAGAGGAGCAUAAUAGAUGGGUGAUUGUGAUGUAGGCACAAUUAUAUUCUUUGGUGAGCCAUUAAUGAGUAAUACCAAUGCCAGUAUCUUAUUUGUAGAAUCUUUGCGGAUUUUGGCAGUAAAAAAAUGCAUUUAAUGCUAACUAAAUUUCACUAUUUUCAGUUUUAGAAUUAAAUACUAAUCACAUUUUUUUGAGAUUGUAUUUUAAUUAAAGCAGUGAGCAGAAUUGGUUGAACCAUUUUUAACUUCUCAAGUGUUUACACAAACAUGCAAAUGCUUGUUUUUCUUUUUUUCAUUUCCUCUUUUUUUUUUUUUUUUUACUAAGAAACAACCAUGUUUCAUAUUCAUUGUACUCCUUUUACCAAUAAAAAUAUAAGUUUUGGUCA